Molecule: ribosomal RNA, 440 nt
Filed under: uncultured bacterium
Lineage: Bacteria
Description: partial 16S ribosomal RNA
Rfam family: Bacterial small subunit ribosomal RNA
Source: RNAcentral
CCUACGGGAGGCAGCAGUGGGGAAUAUUGCACAAUGGGGGAAACCCUGAUGCAGCAACGCCGCGUGAGUGAUGACGGCCUUCGGGUUGUAAAACUCUGUUUUCAGGGACGAUAAUGAGGGUGCCUGAGGAGGAAGGCACGGCUAACUACGUACCAGCAGCCGAGGUAAUACGUCGGUGGCGAGCGUUGUCCGGAUUUACUGGGCGUAAGGGGAGCGUAGGCGGGCUUUUAAGUGAGAUGUGAGAUACUCGGGCUCAACUGGAGUGCUGCAUUUGAAACUGGAAGUCUAGAGUGCAGGAGAGGAGAAUGGAACUCCUAGUGUAGCGGUGAAAUGCGUAGAGAUUAGGAAGAACACCAGUGGCGAAGGCGAUUCUCUGGACUGUAACUGACGCUGAGGCUCGAAAGCGUGGGUAGCAAACAGGAUUAGAUACCCGGGUAGUC